Molecule: long non-coding RNA, 431 nt
Filed under: Helianthus annuus (common sunflower)
Lineage: Eukaryota; Viridiplantae; Streptophyta; Magnoliopsida; Asterales; Asteraceae
Description: sRNA HanXRQr2_Chr05g0195151
Source: RNAcentral
GGCUAGCCGAUCGAACAGGACUGUUCGAUCGGACAGCUGCUCGAUCAGGAAUGCUGUUCGAUCAGCUGACCUUUCCUCUUUUGGAAGCCUAUAAAUAGGGCUGUCUUUGUCAUACUUUCCACUUUUGGAAAAGCUCUGACCGACCAGCCUCUUCUUCUCACUAAAUCCAAGAUUUCUCUCAAACCUGUAAGUAUUUCACUCUAAUCUUUGUACGUUUUGUUCAUUAAUCGAUUCUCCAUCUUUCUAUCUUUCAAAAUCUGGAUUUCAUCCAUGAAAUCACCAAGAUCUAGGCGUUCUUGAGUGAUGUCAUCAUGGUGAUCUUAACAUUUCACGGUGGAAAAGGAUUGGAAGAUGGGUUUUCAUCUAUCUUUCAACUCUUUUACACUCAAGCCGGUGAAAACGAGCUUGAACCGAUUCAUAAAUCAACCUAA